CAUCACAGAGCAGGGUAGCUGCUAACGGCAGCCGAGGGCGACCUUAGGGCAAGUGCAACAGAAAUAUACCGCCGCAGGAAACUGCGGUAAGGGUGGAAAGGCGAGGUAAAAGCUCACCAAGGUAUAAGUAAUUAUACCUCUAUGUAAACCCUAUCCGAUGCAACGUCUUUUUUGGAACAAUACGUUAUUGUCUGCUCGGCAGGCGUAUUGCAACGACGGCUCGAGUGUUUCGGCGACGAUUCACCAAGAUAGAUUUCCGCACACGACAAAACCCGGCUUAUCGGCUUAGUCG
RNAcentral lists this RNase P RNA (292 nucleotides) under pig gut metagenome. RNAcentral's name for it is "Bacterial RNase P class A". It matches the Rfam family "Bacterial RNase P class A", at positions 57 to 363 of the family's 367-position model. From Rfam's summary of the family: Ribonuclease P (RNase P) is a ubiquitous endoribonuclease, found in archaea, bacteria and eukarya as well as chloroplasts and mitochondria. The record is from RNAcentral.